This 298-nucleotide small RNA is filed under the name Pan troglodytes (chimpanzee). Its description in RNAcentral is "processed transcript". Lineage: Eukaryota; Metazoa; Chordata; Mammalia; Primates; Hominidae. The record is from RNAcentral.
AGACAGGGGCUCACUAUGUUGCCAGGCUGUUUUCGAAGUCCUGGGCUCAAGCAAUCCUCCUAUCUUGGCCUCCCAAAGUGCUGGGAUUACAAGUGUGAGUCACCGCACCUGGCCUGAAGAUUCUAUUUCACCUACGAAAACAUGCUUUAAACUGCCACAGAAUGAAGCCUGCCUUGUUUAAUGUGUUGUGUGAAAUCAAAGAAAAAACAGACCUCGUAUCAUGGACUAACACACUUAUAACACAUCCCAGGAGGGCAUUUAAAUUUUAAAGCAACAAUUAAAAAAUAGCAGUCAUCAA